AAACUAACAAGGAUUCCCCUAGUAGCGGCGAGCGAAGCGGGAAGAGCUCAAAUUUAUAAUCUGGCACCUUCGGUGUCCGAGUUGUAAUCUCUAGAAAUGUUUUCCGCGUUGGACCGCACACAAGUCUGUUGGAAUACAGCGGCAUAGUGGUGAGACCCCCGUAUAUGGUGCGGACGCCCAGCGCUUUGUGAUACAUUUUCGAAGAGUCGAGUUGUUUGGGAAUGCAGCUCAAAUUGGGUGGUAAAUUCCAUCUAAAGCUAAAUAUUGGCGAGAGACCGAUAGCGAACAAGUACCGUGAGGGAAAGAUGAAAAGCACUUUGGAAAGAGAGUUAACAGUACGUGAAAUUGUUGGAAGGGAAACGCUUGAAGUCAGACUUGCUUGCCGAGCAAUCGGUUUGCAGGCCAGCAUCAGUUUUCCGGGAUGGAUAAUGGUAGAGAGAAGGUAGCAGUUUCGGCUGUGUUAUAGCUCUCUGCUGGAUACAUCUUGGGGGACUGAGGAACGCAGUGUGCCUUUGGCGGGGGUUUCGACCUCUUCACACUUAGGAUGCUGGUGGAAUGGCUUUAAACGACCCGUCUU
RNAcentral lists this ribosomal RNA (577 nucleotides) under Rhodotorula mucilaginosa. RNAcentral's name for it is "eukaryotic LSU rRNA". It matches the Rfam family "Eukaryotic large subunit ribosomal RNA", at positions 62 to 655 of the family's 3401-position model. Lineage: Eukaryota; Fungi; Basidiomycota; Microbotryomycetes; Sporidiobolales; Sporidiobolaceae. The record is from RNAcentral.